GAGUUUGAUCCUGGCUCAGAUUGAACGCUGGCGGCAGGCCUAACACAUGCAAGUCGAGCGGAUGACGGGAGCUUGCUCCUUGAUUCAGCGGCGGACGGGUGAGUAAUGCCUAGGAAUCUGCCUGGUAGUGGGGGACAACGUUUCGAAAGGAACGCUAAUACCGCAUACGUCCUACGGGAGAAAGCAGGGGACCUUCGGGCCUUGCGCUAUCAGAUGAGCCUAGGUCGGAUUAGCUAGUUGGUGGAGUAAUGGCUCACCAAGGCGACGAUCCGUAACUGGUCUGAGAGGAUGAUCAGUCACACUGGAACUGAGACACGGUCCAGACUCCUACGGGAGGCAGCAGUGGGGAAUAUUGGACAAUGGGCGAAAGCCUGAUCCAGCCAUGCCGCGUGUGUGAAGAAGGUCUUCGGAUUGUAAAGCACUUUAAGUUGGGAGAAGGGCAGUAAGUUAAUACCUUGCUGUUUUGACGUUACCGACAGAAUAAGCACCGGCUAACUCUGUGCAGCCGCCG
Molecule: ribosomal RNA, 511 nt
Filed under: bacterium enrichment culture clone ALO1_GLFRUDD03G56U4
Lineage: Bacteria
Description: bacterial SSU rRNA
Rfam family: Bacterial small subunit ribosomal RNA
Source: RNAcentral